RNAcentral lists this ribosomal RNA (460 nucleotides) under uncultured bacterium. Its description in RNAcentral is "partial 16S ribosomal RNA". It matches the Rfam family "Bacterial small subunit ribosomal RNA", at positions 338 to 795 of the family's 1533-position model. The record is from RNAcentral.
CCUACGGGAGGCAGCAGUGAGGAAUAUUGGUCAAUGGCCGGAAGGCUGAACCAGCCAUGCCGCGUGAAGGUCAGUGCCCUAUGGGCGUUAAACUUCUUUUGUGCGGGAGCAAUAAUGGUCACGUGUGCCCAGACGAGAGUACUGUACGAAUAAGCAUCGGCUAACUCCGUGCCAGCAGCCGCGGUAAUACGGGGGAUGCAAGCGUUAUCCGGAUUUAUUGGGUUUAAAGGGUGCGUAGGCUGUGAGGUAAGUCAGCGGGGAAAUGCCCCCGCUCAACGGGGUGAAGUGCCAUUGAUACUGCCUUGCUGGAAUGCGGAUGCCGUGGGAGGAAUGUGUGGUGUAGCGGUGAAAUGCAUAGAUAUCACACAGAACACCGAUUGCGAAGGCAUCUCACGAAUCCGCGAUUGACGCUGAUGCACGAAAGCGUGGGUAUCAAACAGGAUUAGAUACCCCAGUAGUC